AUGCUUGCUUUGGCAACACAUAUAUUAAAUUGGAAUAUAACAGAGAAGAUUAGCAUGGCCCCUGCUCAAGGAUGACAUGCAAAUUCAUGAAGUGUUCCAUAUUAAA
Ictidomys tridecemlineatus (thirteen-lined ground squirrel) is the source of this 106-nucleotide small nuclear RNA. NCBI's taxonomy places the organism in Eukaryota, Metazoa, Chordata, Mammalia, Rodentia, Sciuridae. The record is from Ensembl.